GAUGAACGCUGGCGGCGUGCCUAAUACAUGCAAGUCGAGCGAACGGACGAGAAGCUUGCUUCUCUGAUGUUAGCGGCGGACGGGUGAGUAACACGUGGAUAACCUACCUAUAAGACUGGGAUAACUUCGGGAAACCGGAGCUAAUACCGGAUAAUAUUUUGAACCGCAUGGUUCAAAAGUGAAAGACGGUCUUGCUGUCACUUAUAGAUGGAUCCGCGCUGCAUUAGCUAGUUGGUAAGGUAACGGCUUACCAAGGCAACGAUGCAUAGCCGACCUGAGAGGGUGAUCGGCCACACUGGAACUGAGACACGGUCCAGACUCCUAAGGGAGGCAGCAGUAGGGAAUCUUCCGCAAUGGGCGAAAGCCUGACGGAGCAACGCCGCGUGAGUGAUGAAGGUCUUCGGAUCGUAAAACUCUGUUAUUAGGGAAGAACAUAUGUGUAAGUAACUGUGCACAUAUUGACGGUACCUAAUCAGAAAGCCACGGCUAACUACGUG
Molecule: ribosomal RNA, 497 nt
Filed under: uncultured bacterium
Lineage: Bacteria
Description: partial 16S ribosomal RNA
Rfam family: Bacterial small subunit ribosomal RNA
Source: RNAcentral